GGGGUCAAUGGGGUCAGUGGGGACAAUGCAAACAAUGGGGACAUUGGGGUCAAUGGGGACAAUGGGAACAUUGGGGUCAAUGGGAUCAAUGGGGACAUUGGGGUCAGUGGGGACAAUGGCAGACAAUGGGGACAUAGGGGUCAAUGGGGUCAAUGGGGAUCAUUGGGGUCAAUGGGGUCAAUGGGGACAAUGGCAGACAAUGGGGACAUUGGGGUCAAUGGGGUCAAUGGGGUCAAUGGGAUCAAUGGCAGACAGUGGGGAUAUUGGGGUCAAUGGGGUCAUUGGGGUCAAUGGGGUCAUUGGGGUCAAUGGGGACAAUGGCAGAGAAUGGGGAUAUUGGGGUCAGUGGGGACACAUUGGGGUCAAUGGGGACAAAGGCAGACAAUGGGGACAUAGGGGUCAGCAGGGACGCGUUUUGGGGGUGCCGUGCUGACGUCCCCUUGGUGGGGGGCACCCAGAGGUGGCGGCGCCGUGGACGGAGGAGACCAUCAAGCAGUGCCUGUACCUCUACCUGGCGCUGCUGCCCCACAACCACCGCCUCAUCCACGAGCUGGCGGCCGUCUACACCGAGGCCAUCGCCGACAUCAAGCGCACCGUGCUCAGGGUCAU
This 609-nucleotide long non-coding RNA is filed under the name Phasianus colchicus (ring-necked pheasant). Its description in RNAcentral is "lncRNA (ENSPCLG00000017580.1)". The record is from RNAcentral. Lineage: Eukaryota; Metazoa; Chordata; Aves; Galliformes; Phasianidae.